GGAGCUAAUACCGAAUGUGGAGGUGCAAUUGGAAAAGCAUCUCUAAAGAUGGCCUCUAUUUAUAAGCUAUCGCUUUUUGAUGGGCCUGCGUGCCAUUAGCUAGUUGGUGGGGUAAUGGCCUACCAAGGCAACGAUGGCUAGCUGGUCUGAGAGGAUGACCAGUCACACUGGAACUGAGACACGGUCCAGACUCCUACGGGAGGCAGCAGUGGGGAAUCUUGCACAAUGGGCGAAAGCCUGAUGCAGCAAUACCGCGUGAGGGAGGAAGGUCUUCGGAUUGUAAACCUCUGUCGAUUGGGAAAAAUGGUUACGUUUCGAAUAGGUACGUAAUUUGAUGGUACCAAUGAAGGAAGCACCGGCUAACUUCGUGCC
RNAcentral lists this ribosomal RNA (372 nucleotides) under uncultured Geobacter sp. RNAcentral's name for it is "bacterial SSU rRNA". It matches the Rfam family "Bacterial small subunit ribosomal RNA", at positions 159 to 509 of the family's 1533-position model. Lineage: Bacteria; Pseudomonadati; Thermodesulfobacteriota; Desulfuromonadia; Geobacterales; Geobacteraceae. The record is from RNAcentral.